This 341-nucleotide long non-coding RNA is filed under the name Trifolium pratense (red clover). RNAcentral's name for it is "long non-coding RNA (TPRA_LNC002620)". The record is from RNAcentral. Lineage: Eukaryota; Viridiplantae; Streptophyta; Magnoliopsida; Fabales; Fabaceae.
CAAGUAGGAUAGUGUGACACAUUCACACACAUUAUGAGUGACAGUGAUAACAUAAUACAGCACAUUGCUGAUUCAUAAAUUUGUCACUUUCAUAGUAACUCCUAUUAAUGAGCUUCCAUUGCUUGAACAAUGAAUAUGGUUUCCUGGAAUACCUGUAUGCAUACACAACAUAAAAUGAGGAUGGAUGUAUGCACAUAUGUUCACACAAAACCGUUACCUUGUGUUGCAAGAUAUGCAAAACAUAUACUCUUCAAUAAAUUUUGACAGACGUACGAGAGAGUAUGCUAGGAAUGUACCGCCACUUAGGCAUUACUUCCUUCUGGCAAUGUAAUCAAUCUUGU